CAUAGAGCAGAGAUAUACAGCUGAGUACCGUCAACAUAUUGGUGAUACCUCAGUCCAUGGUGACGGAUUAUCUCACCCAGCGGUUUCAUAUAAAUG
Pseudonaja textilis is the source of this 96-nucleotide non-coding RNA. NCBI's taxonomy places the organism in Eukaryota, Metazoa, Chordata, Lepidosauria, Squamata, Elapidae. The record is from RefSeq and is a predicted model, not a curated record.